Molecule: non-coding RNA, 72 nt
Organism: Phrynosoma platyrhinos (Desert horned lizard)
Lineage: Eukaryota; Metazoa; Chordata; Lepidosauria; Squamata; Phrynosomatidae
Source: the annotation of a GenBank genome assembly
GCCAGUGGAGUGGAGUGGUUUGAAUGUUGGAGUAUGACUCUGGAGACCAGGGUUCAAAUCCCUGCUCAGACA